Molecule: long non-coding RNA, 342 nt
Organism: Perognathus longimembris pacificus (Pacific pocket mouse)
Lineage: Eukaryota; Metazoa; Chordata; Mammalia; Rodentia; Heteromyidae
Exons: 2
Source: RefSeq, a predicted model, not a curated record
GGAAGUGGCACUGUAGAUCAAGUAGUAGAGUGCUAGCCUUCUGCAAAAGCUCAGCGACAAUGCCCAGGCCCUGAGUUCAAGCCCCAGGACUAGCAAAUAAAUUAGUAAACAAGAAGGGGUUAAAGGAGAUGGGUAUAUCAAACACUAAAAUUUAAAUGGAAGAGUCAGAAAAUAAAGUUGAGGAUAUUUCCCCAAAAAGUGAGUAACAAAGAGAGAAUUAGACAAUAAUAGAGGGGGAAAAAAGCCAAUUAUGGCACAUGCCUAUAAUCUCAGCACUCAAGAGGUGAAAGCAAGAGGAUCCAGAGUUCAAUAUUAGCCUGGGGUACAUGGUGAGACCCUAUU